Molecule: ribosomal RNA, 468 nt
Filed under: uncultured bacterium
Lineage: Bacteria
Description: partial 16S ribosomal RNA
Rfam family: Bacterial small subunit ribosomal RNA
Source: RNAcentral
GACGAACGCUGGCGGCGUGCUUAACACAUGCAAGUCGAACGGAAAGGCCCUGCUUUUGUGGGGUGCUCGAGUGGCGAACGGGUGAGUAACACGUGAGUAACCUGCCCUUGACUUUGGGAUAACUUCAGGAAACUGGGGCUAAUACCGGAUAGGAGCUCCUGCUGCAUGGUGGGGGUUGGAAAGUUUCGGCGGUUGGGGAUGGACUCGCGGCUUAUCAGCUUGUUGGUGGGGUAGUGGCUUACCAAGGCUUUGACGGGUAGCCGGCCUGAGAGGGUGACCGGCCACAUUGGUACUGAGAUACGGCCCAGACUCCUACGGGAGGCAGCAGUGGGGAGUAUUGCACAAUGGGCGGAAGCCUGAUGCAGCAACGCCGCGUGCGGGAUGACGGCCUUCGGGUUGUAAACCGCUGUCGCCUGUGACGAAGCGUGAGUGACGGUAAUGGGUAAAGAAGCACCGGCUAACUACGUG